GCGCUGCAUUAGCUAGUUGGUAAGGUAACGGCUUACCAAGGCAACGAUGCAUAGCCGACCUGAGAGGGUGAUCGGCCACACUGGAACUGAGACACGGUCCAGACUCCUACGGGAGGCAGCAGUAGGGAAUCUUCCGCAAUGGGCGAAAGCCUGACGGAGCAACGCCGCGUGAGUGAUGAAGGUCUUCGGAUCGUAAAACUCUGUUAUUAGGGAAGAACAUAUGUGUAAGUAACUGUGCACAUCUUGACGGUACCUAAUCAGAAAGCCACGGCUAACUACGUGCCAGCAGCCGCGGUAAUACGUAGGUGGCAAGCGUUAUCCGGAAUUAUUGGGCGUAAAGCGCGCGUAGGCGGUUUUUUAAGUCUGAUGUGAAAGCCCACGGCUCAACCGUGGAGGGUCAUUGGAAACUGGAAAACUUGAGUGCAGAAGAGGAAAGUGGAAUUC
Molecule: ribosomal RNA, 444 nt
Filed under: Staphylococcus aureus
Lineage: Bacteria; Bacillati; Bacillota; Bacilli; Caryophanales; Staphylococcaceae
Description: bacterial SSU rRNA
Rfam family: Bacterial small subunit ribosomal RNA
Source: RNAcentral